Molecule: long non-coding RNA, 489 nt
Filed under: Setaria viridis
Lineage: Eukaryota; Viridiplantae; Streptophyta; Magnoliopsida; Poales; Poaceae
Description: long non-coding RNA (SVIR_LNC005848)
Source: RNAcentral
CAUUUCUUUUCUAACAAAUCGACAACAAACUGAUCAGAAAGAACUGAGCUAAUGAUACGUUACUGAAGACUGAAGUCAGAUCUCGGAACUGCCGGCAUUACAGAACCAAAGAUCCUGCCCGUCUUUAGACCACUCACGAAUCUGUAGUACCUAAUAAACACCCGAUCAGUGCGCAAAAUAGGUGACGAAGAGCGCCGCAAACAUGAGCAGGUACGCGAUCGCCUGAUCAAUCGCCUUUGGAUCGACCACCCUUGCCGCCGCCGGCUUGUCCUGCGCCGCCGCCAUGGACAGCUGCAUGAGCCCGGAGAAGAAGAAGGCCGUGAACAGCAGCACGUACGCCUUCACGGCCGCCAUCUUCUAGUUCUAUCGCUGUGCUAGCCGGAGUGUUUGAAGGUGAAAGUUAUAUCGCAGCUUCUUGGAACUGUGAUCCUUGAAUAACUAGUGAGGAAGUUGCUGCUAUGUGCUACUCUCUGAUGCUUAUGGCGAUGC